Anolis carolinensis (green anole) is the source of this 1919-nucleotide long non-coding RNA. The record is from Ensembl. Lineage: Eukaryota; Metazoa; Chordata; Lepidosauria; Squamata; Anolidae.
AGCCGCCCCGAGUCCCCUUUGGGAGAUGGGGCAGGGUAUAAAAAUAAAAUUAUUAUUUUAUUAUGACACAGCAAACAAGAUAGAUAUGCUGGAUUUCGUAUCACAAAAUCACAAGUCGAACACUUCCCAAGUGUCUAGGACUGUGUGAUGUAUUUUCGGAUGAUGUGCGCAGAUCCCAGCAGGGUGGUCUUUUGCAGUUGGCAGAUCAUGAUUUUGUCAAUGUCUAUUGUUUCCAAAUGCCGGCUGAGAUCUUUUGGCACGGCAUCCAAUGUGCUGAUCACCACCGGGACCACCUAUACUGGUUUCUGCCAGAGUCUUUGAAGUUCAAUCUUGAGGUCCUGAUAGCGGCUGAGUUUUUCCUGUUGUUUUUCGUCAAUGCGACUAUCACCUGGGAUGGCGACAUCAAUGAACCAAACCUUUUUCUUUUCCACAACUGUGAUGUCUGGUGUAUUGUGUUCCAGAACUUUGUCAGUCUGGAUUCGGAAGUCCCACAGUAUCUUUGCGUGCUCAUUUCCAAAUACCAGAUCCCACCAGUUCUUUAUUGCUGGGAGGUGGUACUUGAGGCAUAAGUUCCAAUGAAUCAUUUGGGCCACAUAGUUGUGCCUCUGUUUGUAGUCUGUCUGUGCAAUUUUCUUACAGCAGCUGAGGAGAUGAUCAAUGGUUUCAUCGGUUUCCUUGCACAGUCUGCAUUUUGGGUCAUCAGCUGAUUUUUCGAUCUUGGCCUUGAUUGCAUUUGUUCUGAUGGCUUGCUCCUGGGCUGCAAGGAUCAGGCCUUCUGUCUCCUUCUUCAGGGUCCCAUUCGUGAGCCAGAGCCAGGUCUUCUCCUUAUCAGCUUUUCCUUCAAUUUUGUCAAGGAACUUUCCAUGCAGUGUUUUGUUGUGCCAGCUGUCAACUCUAGUUUGUAGUGCGGUUUUCUUGUACUGGUUUUUUGUCUGCUGUGCUUUGAGGAGUUUCUGAUAUUUGACUUCAAUCAAAGCAGGUUCUUCACUUUGCUUUACAUAUUCUGCCAGGGCAUGUUCUUCUUCUUUGACUGCUUGUUUUACUUGUAAGAGUCCUCUGCCCCCUGAUCUUCUAGGCAGAUAUAGCCGGUCAACAUCACUGCGAGGGUGCAGUGAAUGAUGAAUGGUCAUGAGUUUUCUUGUUUUUCUGUCCAAAUUGUCCAGUUCCGCCUGUGUCCAAUUUAUAAUGCCAGCAGUAUAUCAUAUGACAGGUAUGGCCCAGGUGUUUAUGGCCUUGAUGGUGUUGCCUCCAUUGAGCUUGCUUUUGAGAAUUUUUCUGACCCUUUGUGUGUAUUCUUUGCUGACCGCAGUUUUCACAUGUUCAUGCUUGAUGUUGGACAGCUGUAAUAUGCCCAAAUAUUUAUAGGCCUCUGGCUGGUGACACCUUAUUGUUUGGUCAUUGGGCAUAUUGAUGCCCUCACUUUCAAUGAUUUUUCCCUUCUUCAAUGCCACUGUCGAACAUUUGUCCAAACCAAACUCCAUGUUGAUAUCAGUGCUAAAAAUUCGGACAGUGUUGGUCAGAGAUUGGAUUUCAGUUUCCGUUUUCCCAUAUAGCUUCAGGUCAUCCAUGUACAUCAAAUGUGAAAUUUUGUGAGAAUUCUUAGAUGUUUGGUAGCUGAGAUUUGUUUUUUGUAAGAUUGUUGACAGAGGGAUCAUGGCAAUAAUGAAAAGCAGAGGGGACAAUGAAUCUCCCUGGAAAAUUCCUUUUCUGAUGUUGACAAGUCCAUAACUUUCAUUUCCAACAAACAGUUCAGUUUUCCAGUGUUCCAUCAUGUUUUCAAUGAAGGUGCCAAUAUUUUUACUAAUCCCGAUGGCGUCCAGGCACUUGAUGAUCCAGCUGUGUGGGAGUGAGUCAAAGGCCUUUUUGUAGUCAAUCCACGUCAUGUGAAGAUUAGCUUUUCGGCUCUUACAGUACUCCAG